Podarcis lilfordi (Lilford's wall lizard) is the source of this 69-nucleotide non-coding RNA. Lineage: Eukaryota; Metazoa; Chordata; Lepidosauria; Squamata; Lacertidae. The record is from the annotation of a GenBank genome assembly.
GCUGUAGCUCAGCGAGAGAGCAUCUGCUUUGCAUGCAGAAGGUCCCAGAGUCAAUCUCUGGCAUCUCCA